Molecule: ribosomal RNA, 585 nt
Filed under: uncultured bacterium
Lineage: Bacteria
Description: partial 16S ribosomal RNA
Rfam family: Bacterial small subunit ribosomal RNA
Source: RNAcentral
UGGGGAAUUUUGGACAAUGGGCGAAAGCCUGAUCCAGCAAUGCCGCGUGUGUGAAGAAGGCCUUCGGGUUGUAAAGCACUUUUGUCCGGAAAGAAAUCCUUGGCUCUAAUACAGUCGGGGGAUGACGGUACCGGAAGAAUAAGCACCGGCUAACUACGUGCCAGCAGCCGCGGUAAUACGUAGGGUGCAAGCGUUAAUCGGAAUUACUGGGCGUAAAGCGUGCGCAGGCGGUUUGCUAAGACCGAUGUGAAAUCCCCGGGCUCAACCUGGGAACUGCAUUGGUGACUGGCAGGCUAGAGUAUGGCAGAGGGGGGUUAGAAUUCCACGUGUAGCAGUGAAAUGCGUAGAGAUGUGGAGGAAUACCGAUGGCGAAGGCAGCCCCCUGGGCCAAUACUGACGCUCAUGCACGAAAGCGUGGGGAGCAAAACAGGAUUAGAUACCCUGGUAGUCCCACGCCCUAAACGAUGUCAACUAGUUGUUGGGGAUUCAUUUCCUUAGUAACGUAGCUAACGCGUGAAGUUGACCGCCUGGGGAGUACGGUCGCAAGAUUAAAACUCAAAUGAAUUGACGGGGUCAUAGCUGUUU